UACCACCUCUGUAGUUAGCAUUCCAAUAG
RNAcentral lists this non-coding RNA (29 nucleotides) under Rattus norvegicus (Norway rat). Lineage: Eukaryota; Metazoa; Chordata; Mammalia; Rodentia; Muridae. The record is from RNAcentral.